UACGGAGGGUGCAAGCGUUAUCCGGAUUCACUGGGUUUAAAGGGUGCGUAGGCGGCUAUAUAAGUCAGUGGUGAAAGCCCGCAGCUCAACUGCGGAACUGCCAUUGAAACUGCAUAGCUUGAAUCUGGUUGAAGUGGGCGGAAUACAUCAUGUAGCGGUGAAAUGCUUAGAUAUGAUGUAGAACACCGAUUGCGAAGGCAGCUGGCUACACAUAUAUUGACACUGAGGCUCGAAAGCGUGGGGAUCAAACAGG
This 253-nucleotide ribosomal RNA is filed under the name uncultured bacterium. RNAcentral describes it as "partial 16S ribosomal RNA". It matches the Rfam family "Bacterial small subunit ribosomal RNA", at positions 524 to 776 of the family's 1533-position model. The record is from RNAcentral.